GUUUUCCUUACACAGAACAGGAGUUGACUUAAACUCUACCUCCACAACCACGGCCUUUUUCUACAAGUCCAUUGGCAACUCGUCUUCCUCCAUUUCCACGGAGCAAACACCGGCAACUUGGUCUCCACCAUCAGCAACAUGGGUCAUUUUUCAAGACGGGCACCAAUACCUCUAACACGAGCAGGAGCAGGGACCCUUCCAACACCGGCAACUUGGUCUCCAACAUCAACACCAACAUGGACCAUUUCAACUUCAUCCUGGGCUUCACCAGCAGCACCAAGGCCACCAUCAGCAGCAACAUUUGCCAUUUCAACGGCUACUUGGGCCUCAGCAACCGCAUCAAGGCCACCAUCAGCAGCAGCACGGGGCAUUUCAAUAUGGGGGUUGGUGUAAUUCAUUCAAGAUAAUUCCUGCUGAAAUGUUGAGUAAAGUCUCCCGGUUGGGUCCCCAGCCAUGGCUGGUAAUGACACCAAUCUGCAGCACCAAAAAAAUUAGAAAAUAAUUUCUAGCAAAUAUUGCAUAUUAUAUCUAUACAUACCCCAUCAAACGACCAAGCGUUAUGAAUUACGAUGCAGUUAACGAUAUACUCCCUUGAUAGGCUCUUGUUGUAAGCGGCAAGAAAGAGUAUGUGUAAAACUGCUUGCACUUCGCGAUGGCAAGCUAUUUUAAAGACGAAGUUAUCGGCCGUCAAGCUUGUUAAGAAAGCCACUCUCCGAGCUCACAGUUUGCCUUGAUUCUCCAACCAUCGACCGAGCUUUACGUGUUUCGAACUUAGAUAAAACAAUUUCUAACAUUGAAUGGCAAUUUCAGCUAAAAACAUGCAAAACAACCACAUACGAAUCAAGCAGCACAGACGAAUCUAAGUAAAGACGAAACUAGAAGACGAUAUUUUUCGAUCUUUUUUUCAUAAAGCCAAAAUGGCGAUGUUAACGAGAACCGGAUUAAAUUAAUUAUUUUCUCUAGUAAAUAGAGUAAUUAAGUAAUUGUUCUUUUAUUAAAAAACCUUUCUUUGGUUCCUAUAUUUUUUUUUCAAUUGCACGAUUAGAAAUAACAUACAUUUUUUCGGGUUUCCGACGUUCCGGCCCACGUCUUUCCGGCCCUUCCGUUCCGGCCCAAUUUUUUUUUACUGAUCGGCCGGAAUGGGUUCCAUUCCGGCCCUAUUAAAUGUAAACAAUUCCGGUACACUGAUAUUAUUUGUAUUAAUUGCACAUUUACAUUAGACAUAGACAAUAUACAAUUUUUUAAAACGAAUAUUGUUGUUAAGGGCAUAGGUGUAGUGGUUGGAUUUAAGGUCGGUUAGGUCGUCGUGGAGUGAAUCGACAGAGUCAGAAAUUUUUCCAUAGCGCAAAUAAUGACGACGUGACGGAAAGCGAGUUUUUUUAUAGGUUCUUAAUUUGUGUUUGUCAAGAAGGAAGCAAGUAAAAGGCACUCGGUCUGCUUCAACCCAGAGAAGUUCAAGCAGUAGAUAUAGGUUAAGACGGGUGGGGUCUUUUCGCCAUUCUUUUUAGUCUAGCAUGAUAGCCCUCGACAGGACUAUUAGUUCUAAUGGUCACAUUGAAAGAUGACCACAUUUUGGGUUUCCAAAUUGAAUGCUUGAUCCAAAAUUUUUCGACAUAAUUAAAAAGAGCAAUCGUAAGAGCUCCUCGGGCUUGAGAUUUAAGAUUGUUAAAGGAGCUUCUAAUGAAACGAUGGGGCAAUAAAUUUAAAGACAUUAGUUUCCUACAAAGCCGACGUAUUCUAGGGUUGCUCCAAUAAAAUCAACCAAGCUUCUGAAUCUCCCUGAAAAUCGCUUGAUAAAAAUGGAAGCAACAACCAUGAAUUUCAAUUCAGAGUUUCAAAACAGAGACAGUUACCACAUUUACUUUGCCAGGAGUGGUUAAGAAUCCUCCCACAAAAGUAUUAUUUGAAACAAUGGUUUCGACUGGGAAUAGUAUCCAUCCGGGAGCGCGAUUGGUAAUAAACACCGUUUUUUGUAAUUGAUUUUUACACAACAGUUUAAACACAGCAAGUGAGGUAUCAUUAUAAAGUAUACCCUUUGUGGUCCAACUGGGUACGAUAUAGGCCUUUGGUUGGCCGGUGAAUUGACAUGGACAGCAGCAGCACGUUUAUUAGCUCUAGUUUCAGCUAAACGAGACGUUGCAUCGUCGGAAGACGAAUUUGAAGAAGAAGUAGCCUCACUCAUAUCUACCAGUAAUUAUAUCGAUUUUAUUUAUUCAUUUAUCAAUUUUAUUAGGCCUAUUCAUUAAAAACAAAUAUAAUUGCAUGGGACCGGAAAGGAUACAUUUAUUUGACCGGAAUGGUAUCCAUUCUGGCCGUACAGUAUUUAAAACAAUUUGACCGGAACGCUACGCCAAAUAUCCUAUUUUUUCUUCCAUUUUAGCGUUCAUUUGGAAAAAUUUUGAAUUGGAGCCCAUUUUUUUGGAUUUGGAGCCUGUAUACCAAUCUUCUUUCGAAGAUUGCUAUUUUCAGGCGCUCAUAUUCUAGAGAAAUCUUAUGGACGUUUUGUAUUGUUGGUGUAAGAAUUGGAUGAGAUAGCAUUGAAGAUUGGCUUUUGUCAUGAAACAGCUGGUUAAACUAGACGAAGACCUAGGACUUGGAUGAGAUAGCGAUUUCAGGUGGCUGCACUUUUCUGCCCGGGUGCAAUUGCCCGGAGAAAAAGUUGUUCGAGUGGUCAAGUCAGUGCAAUCCCCUUUAUCAAAUUGAGCAAAAUAAGGCUUUCAUUCCAGUGCUGAAACUAGCAGGUGGUGAAACAUUUACAGAGCGUCACUGGGCAGAAUUUCUGAAAAUAACUGGUCUAUCUACUGCAAGCAUCGAACAAUAAGUCACCCUUCAAGAACUACUUCGAGCGCAAACUGUUUUACCCCAAAACUUCAACGAAAUGAUAUUUUUUUUUCAAUUUUGAUAGGAAUUGAACAACAGAUUUGUUGACGAAUCGCUUUUCAGACAAGCGCUGGUUAGCACGUUGAUUCAAAUGGCAUUCAGCUAUUCAUCAUUUAAGGAGUCAAAGUUUUGCUCAACAAGGUCGGAGAGUAUUUAAGUCUUAUAAAGUCCAUGAAGGAUUAAUCCUACUAUCAGGCAUACAGUGACUGUAUAAUCCUGUGGGAAACCAAAAUGAAAAACCUAGACUUUUAUCUUCGCCGUUGGAGUCAAAUUCAAAUCAAGUUGGUUACUGAAUAUUAGAAUCCGUUUACAUCUGCCUUAAAGCGCCUGAAAUUUUUUUUAAAACAAAAGGUGGCUCUAUUUAGAACCUGUUUUCAAUCAAAGAUUUUUAUUGAAAGAUGCCGGUCGUUUUCGUCACCUCCACGCCGGUUUCCGGUUCAUUAUCUCUAAAAAAAUCGCUUUUUUUUUACAGAAUCUAGGAAAUCUAUCAAUUUUGCUUUAACUAGCAAUUCGCCACUCAACAACACCAAAAUCCCGGACCCCCUUUUUCCCCGUUCCGCUAUGGGACAUAUAAGUCUGCAAAAAUUCAGGCCUACACAGUUUUUUUCUUCGGAUUCGCCUGUGUUUUUAGAAGUCAAAUAUUCCCUGCCGUUCGGGAGAUAUUUCAUGUUAAAAUUUCGUUUUUUUUUCAAUUUUUGAUCAGGUAGUUUGAUUUUAGUUGAAUUAAAUCCUCCAUCAACUGGUAGCAAGUGGGAGAUAUCGUACCGUGGUUCACCUUUUCAGACACAAUGGCCGAUAAGUAAUCCACCUCUUUCACAAUAAUUCCACAGACCGGAUUGGUGGUGUAUUUUUUUCUUUCCCUGACGGAAAAUUAGCAGCCGGUACUUGUCUUCCACCAUUUUAUAGCUGUAGUAUAUAGGGAGUUUAAUACUGGCCUUCCUUUAUCCAUUUUUCGAAUCCUACAUACAGUGACAAAUGUCAAUGCAUCCUGGCUGUAAAAGAAGUGUAGCAUACGCUUAUCAUGACGAGUUCGUCCGAGGUGAGGCCAACACCAAGGCCAAAACCUUCGGUUCCACACCCUUUCCGUACCUCGUGAUUGCAUCAGGCAGUCGCCAACUGCUUUCCUCGUCGUAGGCACUAAAAAACGUAGAAAUGGUUUAUGGCUGGUCGAAAUGCGGAAGAUGUUUGGGCUUACCGGACAGCGUCUGAGAGGUGAACGAGAAAUGAGGGGGAAGGGGAAUCGGAGAGACCCAACAGCAUUCAGCGUGUGCGUUUUUCUGUCAAGGGAUAUGGAAACUUCGGUAACUGCAAUGCGAAUGACUGCAUCUCCAGACAAUUACAGACCUACACACUUGACGUUCUAGAAAUACAAGAUGUCAUAAAAAAACAAAACAAAAAAAACAAAAACAAAAAAUAAAGAACGUUAAACAUUAAAAGGAAAAACCUUUUGUGGGAAAAAAUGGGCAAUUGCUUAAUCCACCAAGGUACACCAUCCGAUUCUGCAGUCAUUUUGACGAGCAGAAGCUGAAUCGCGUGGUGUUCGAUUGUGUCAAGUUGUCAUAACACGGGUUCAAAAAAUAAUUUCUUACCAGGAUUCGAUUAACUUCUUCAUGAUACCCUUUAAUAUAUCUGCCCAAAAAUUAAGGAAAAUAUUCUAGUUUGGAAAGCACAAACAAAUAAAAUCAAUCCGUGAAAAUAUGGAUUUUUGAUUUUACUGCAACUUUCCUUGAACGUAUUAUAGAAACUUGGAUAAUACUUACUCCACGACGGUGAAUACUUUAAAAUGGCUAAAAGAACAAGAAAUAGCAGAAGUGAUGGUCUUUUUGAACUUGGGAGUGAAAUAAGCUUAGCCAUCGGAACCAAACUUCCCCUAAUUAGGACAGCGAUGAAUAGGUUUAUUGCUCUUUUAGUUCAACGACCUAAAAACACACAAGAUAUUUUCAAAUAAAUCAUGGUGAACUUAGAGAUACUUGGGGACAAGCAUCUAUACCAAUUACUCAGAAAAAACCUUGAUUAUUUAAUUAAAUUCACAAAUCUUGGACAUCGGCGAAACAAUAUCAAGAUUGUGAACCACACCAAUAGUAAAUAAUGAUGGAAUAUUAAAUAAAAAUAGCUCAUAAAUUUUUUCAAUGUCAAAAUGAUAUGUAAUAUGAAAACGACAUUAAAUAUGGGGAGGAUAAAAUUUUUUUUUGCGACAGUCAAGUCGAUAAGAUAUGACAGUUUAAGAUGGAAGAUACUAAUAAUUUAGCAUAAAUAUUGAAAUUUUUUGCGAUUUUGUGGUACAUACUGCGCCAAAUGUUUGUUAAAUUCACAAUAUUACAUCAAUUUCAUAUUAAUUAGACUUUUCA
Long non-coding RNA from Daphnia pulicaria, 5228 nucleotides. RefSeq lists it as uncharacterized. The record is from RefSeq and is a predicted model, not a curated record. Lineage: Eukaryota; Metazoa; Arthropoda; Branchiopoda; Diplostraca; Daphniidae. The transcript has 5 exons.